This is an RNA transcript of Trachemys scripta elegans, 7767 nucleotides long. It is a transcript of the gene named zinc finger protein 2-like, with no coding region annotated. The record is from RefSeq and is a predicted model, not a curated record. NCBI's taxonomy places the organism in Eukaryota, Metazoa, Chordata, Testudines, Emydidae. The transcript is spliced from 5 exons.
UUGGGAACAUUCCAAGCGAGCCCGGUUCCCCGCAAAGCUAACGGUGCAGAAGAAAGGACGCGGGGUGAGAUUUUCCCCCCCCCCUCCUCGCGCCGCCCGUGCACGGGAUCGCGGCCGCGCUGAAAUCCAGCCCGGCACUGUCCGAUUGCAGAGUCCAGCCUCUCCCUCGGCGCUCACCCUUUGCUGCUGGUCUUUGUUUCGUUUCACCCUUCCUCCGGUAGCUCUCACUGCACUGGGCACAGACUUCCUCUAGGUCAGCAGCAGCUGCGAUUGCAACAUAAGUUGCAGCCAAGUCACAAACCAUGUUGUCCCUCGGGUUCCAGGGGAGGAAAAUGCCUGCAGGGAUGGACUGCUCAGCAUGCUAAACCUCCAAGACUGACUGAGGCAUACGACGAGAACAGGAGCCCCACCGCAAUGACCAGGGAAAGGGAGUUCUGAAUGUUAAGAGAACAGCUCUGCUGUUGGGUUGAAAGGAAAAACUCCAUGAGAAAAUGCAACCCAAGGAAGAACCAGAGCCAUCCAGUUAGCUGCAUGACCCUUGGCACCUCAGAAUCUGUGCUGCAUGUUGUCAACCUCUCCUCCUGGUCAGCAGAGCAACCCGGGCCCAUCAGCUGCACUUUGACUAUUGCAUCAUUGACUUUUCUAUAACCGCCCCUUGCCAACCUUCCAACCGUCCCUCCCCAUCCCCUCCACCGGCUCCCUAGCAGCUGCCUGGCCUACCAGAGAGAACCCAGACACAGAAGAAUCACAUCCACCUGCUGUCUGGCGCCACCAUGAAAGACCCUGCAAAGCGCGCGGCCCAGAAGACGCAUAUGUGCCCAGACUGUGGGAAAUCCUUCAGCAAGAAGGGAAAUCUGAAGAGACACCAGAGGAUCCACACAGCAGAGGAGCUCUACCCGUGCGGUGAGUGUGGGAGGCGCUUCACCACGAGGGGACACCUUACCACCCACCAGAGCAUCCACACCGGAGAGAGGCCUUUCCAGUGUGACGAGUGCGGACGGUGCUUCCGGCUGGAGAUAUGCCUGGCUGCCCACCAGAAGACACACACCAAAGGCGGGCCGUAUAUCUGUGUCCACUGUGGGAAGAGCCUGAGCACACGCAUCUACUUCAGCAUCCACAUGAGAACCCACAAGGAAAAGCGGCCGUACGCCUGCACCGAGUGCGGGAAGAGCUUUGUGAAGAAGGGGACGCUGACGGCACACAAGGAGAUACACAAACGGGAUAAGCCUUUCAAGUGCUCCGACUGCAGCCGGUGCUUUGGCCAGAGCGCAACACUGGUGGCUCACCAGAAAAUCCACCUCCGCGGGGGGCCAUUCAUAUGCACCGAGUGCGGGAAAAGCUUGAGCACCAAGAGGUAUUUUAACGUCCACCAGAGGAACCACGCAAAGCAGAGGCUACAGGAAGCCACUGGACAUGUAAAUGGCAUGCCUCUCCGGGUCAUCCAGAUUAAAGAGGAACCGGAUGUGACCUUCAAACAGGAGGAUAGCUAUAGCCUGGGGAAGAACAUUACAAUACCAGGAGCUCCCUCAGAGGACGGACCCCAGGAAGGUCCUGAUUGUGGAACCCAAUCCAGCCCAAAGAUCCUUGUUAGCACUCCGUGGGGAAUCCAGACUAAGGAGGAACCAGACACAUACCCUGAACAUGAGAGAAACAUCAUUACAGUAGCCCACCAGAACCCUUACAUCAAGGAGGAACCACAAGCCAGCCCCGACUAUGACAACCAAUUCAAUCCAAAGAUGCCUCUCUUUCCUCCAUGGGGAAUCCAGGCUACAAAGGAAGCUGGGGUGGACAACGAACACCAGAGGGAUGUCACUAUGAUCGGCAGUCUUGCGGCCUGCCAGAAACCCCGCAUCAAGGAAGAACCACAGGAGAGCACCGACCAUGGAAGCAACUUCAGUCAAAAGACAUCUCUUGGCACCAUCCAGAGGAUCCAGAUUAAAGAGGGAGCCGGGGCAGAUGGCGAACAUGGGGAAAGCUGCAGCCCAAAGAAAAAACACAGAAAACACCAGAGAACCAGCGAAGAGGGGACUUCUGGUGCAUGUACCGAGAGCCGGGCAAACACAAAAUGCAAGAAAAAUCCCUUGACGAAGGACGGUCCCAAAGCGGAGAGGAUAUUUCCGUGUCCCGAGUGUGGGAAAAGCUUCAACCAGAAGUCGAAUCUUACUAGGCACCGGAAGAUCCACACCAGUGAGGGGCCUUAUAAGUGCAACGAGUGCGGGGAGAGUUUCCGGAUGAACAGGAAGCUCAUCAGGCAUCAGAGGAUCCACAUGAGUGAGCCCUUUAAAUGCACCGAGUGUGGGAAAAGCUUCACCCAGCGGUCAAACCUCGUGAGGCACCAGCGGAUCCACACCAGGGAGGAGCCGUACAAAUGUCCCGAAUGCGAGAAGACCUUCAAUCAGAAGGCCAACCUCUUCAGGCACCAGACGAUCCACAUCAGGAUGGGACCGUGCAAAUGCACCAAGUGUGGGAAAUGCUUCACUCAGAAGAAAAACCUUAUUAGACACCAGACGCUGCACUCCAGGGGCGGGGCUUAUAAAUGCACGGUGUGUGGGAAACGGUACAGGCUGAAGAAAUAUCUGAGGAGGCACCAGAAAAUCCAUAUGAGGGAGGGACCCACCGGGCGUGCAAAACGGGGGGGAAAGCUGGGAGCACCAGCGAGCAUUAGCAACCACCCCCAGACCCACCCAGAACAAAGAGCGCUCCCAGCUGUGAAAAGUGAGGAGAGCAACCUCUAGCCACAGAGCAAAGCCCACAAAGGAAGGUGAUAAGCAUGGACCAAAUUCUGCAGUCUUUAGUGGAGCAAAACUCCUACUAUAAACAGAAGGAGGCAGUGUGGCUGGGAUACAGGAGACCUGCAUCCAGUUCCUGGGUCUGUCACUUGGGCAAGUCAGUUUCCCUCCUCAUGCCUCAGUUUCCUCAUCUGUAAAAUGGGGUUAAGGAUACUGACCUCCUUGGUAAAGAGCGAGGUAGUAGAAUUAUUAACCAGAGAUUUGCUCCAUUGAAGAAUGCGGAGUUUAGCCCAAUCAGCCCCAACUCUUACACAGGCUGAAUGUAUUAAACAGGUGCAAAGCAUUGAUUUCGAGUGUACCAUUUUGCUUCUGGAAAAGAAGUGGGGAAUGUAUCUGCUGAGCCUGGCUCUGAGAAAUGGGCAUCGCCCACAUGGACAUCGCUCCCAUCGAUACCAGAGGUCAGCUCUGGGACUGAAACUUGGGAUGAAACUUGGGAAGGCCAACGUUUUCAAACCGGGGUGGGGGGUCGAGAUUAGGCUGCAGAAUGAAAGAUGUCUCAGGCUGGGCACCUAACAUGGAGAUACUCAAACUCAGUGGCCACUUUUGAAAAUUUGGCUGGCAGUGAGCAAAUGCUGCUCUCCCAGUACCUCUACGCUGAAGUUGGAUGUGUACUUUCCAGCUUGGGUAGACGUACACACAGUAGGUUUGAGAGAGUAGGAGUCCCCUGCCAUCUAGGAGACCAGCCAGCGACUCCAUGAAACACACAGUUCUCUUAAUCCCAGAAUAAACACUACUGGACAAUCCCUGCACUUGCUCACUACCAACCAGGUCCUUCCUAGUUCAAAGACAAGGCCUGGCUGAAAGUUAAUACAUGAGCAGGGACAGGUGGUCACAAUGAGGUGGGGAAGAGUCACAGGAGUUUAUGAGCCACAUAAUGCAAUGAGACUAAAGGCUUGUCUACGCUUGAAACGCUACAGUUCUCCCAUUGGCAUAAGUGAUCCAUCUCUCCAAGAGGUGCUAGCUAGAUCAACGGAAGGUAGUGCUGUCUACACCAGGGGUUAGGGCAGCAUAACUACGUCGCUCAGGAGAGUGGGUUUUUCACACCCCUGAAUGAUGUAGCUGGGUCGACCUUAUUUUUUGGGGUAGACCAGGGCUGAGCUAGCAUGCUAAACCCAGCAGUGUAGCCACAACGACAUGGAUCUCGGAGAGGGUUAUGCUCUGGUGGUUAGCCCGUGCUGCCGGCCACUUCCUAAAAAUAUUGCUCUAGAUCAAUCAGAGCUAGCACACGUACACCUCCCCGAGCUGGAGCUGACACCUUCGCUGCAGUGUAGACGUCCCCUCGGCCAUAUCCAUGCAAAGCUGGUGCCUGGGUGUAAGCGAGAGCGGCCAUCUCGGUCUAGCAUCUUGCUAUGUCUGUGACUAGAGGAAACAGAAGAUCUUCCAGAAGCAUCAAUAGCUUCAGCAGCCCAGGAUAGGUGCUCUUUCGUACUCUCUAAUUUUUCCCCAGAAAGUGACUCUGAAGGUCACUACGGGAUUUUGAAUUUACUGGGCAUUAUUUAGGGAUUAAAGAAAGAAGCAAUCACAAUCCCUGGGACAGGCUGCACCCCUUGUGGACUGGGGCCUCCAUGGACUAGAAGAACAGAAACCCUUUAUCCUUUAGAUCGGUCCGGUUUCAUCGUGCUUGUGCGGUGAGAGCUGCGAAGUGGCUUGGGGGCAAGUAACAGAGUUCACCACUCUUUCUUGCUCUCUGCUACUUCGUUAUAAUGGCAUGUAUUCAAUCUCAGACUAUGGGAUCUUUAAUGUGGUGGGUUGGCUGGCAGGGGGCACCAUUGGGGCUUGAAGAACAUUGGCAGACCAGAGGUCUGGAGGGAGCCCGAGACCAGCACAGCCAGACACUGCGCCCAACCACCCCAGAGUGCUCUCAGCAACGUUGCUUAUGUGACUGAAGUGAACACAGCAGCUGAGGGGCGUGCACUAAGGAUCACUGCGUCGCUGGAAUUCUUAUAGGAGUAGAGUCAAGUCAAGUAGUGGUCAGUUAUUAGGCAUUAGUUCUACAGCUUGAUUUUGUAUAUGAAAAGGAAGCUUCUCCUUCAUAUCAUCCCCCCAAGAGAGGUUGCACACAAUGGGCUUAGAUUUACCCCCAUGGCAUAGGUGUUGCAGCGAUCGUUGAGCCCAAGGGGCAGGACUCAUGUCUGGGCAGGAAGGCAGGUGGCUGCAGAGGGAAGGACAAUUUUAAUCUCUGUCUGGGGUCUCCAUAGGAACCACACUGGAGGAGGUGGCUUAGGAGAUAAGCUGAAUCAGUCCAUCUCCUGGAUGGUAGUGCCCAGUCCCUUGGGACUUGAUCCACGCCAGGUACACUAUCAACCUCCAGGGGCAUGGAGAUUGCGUUGCACUAGAAGAACAUGGUGGAACGUACGCAAUGAAUCUAGGACAAUAUACUAGGCCUCCCACAGCAGGGAAUAUACCAGAGCUCCUCACUUGAGGGCCCGAAUGUGUAACCAAGAGAAGAAUUAUCCCCCCAUUCUUUGGAUGUAAUUGUUUUCUUCUCCUUAGACUAGUUUUGUGGCCUAGAGAUUUACCCCGGAGGAAGCAGCUGUUUGAGGAUUUUGUUUUGUGUGUCGAUACUUCUUUUAAUAAGAUACAUAGAACAAUAAGCUGCCCUCAAUCCAUCUACUCCGCUUUCCCAGGCAUCGCUGGGCAUAGCACCAUGGACCGAGGGCAGCAGCCGGACCUCAGCUCGUGGGGGAAACCAGUACUGACAGAUUAUACAGUCUCCUCAAUAAAGACCGCGUGGAGGCCUCUCUGUGGAUAUAUCAUGGAGACUGAGUUCCCCCGGGAAGGAGUAGAAUCAAGGACCAGUGCUCACUGUGGCAUUGCACUCAUCUGGCGCCUUGGACAGCACUGAAGGCAGACAAAGGCAAACGCACAGCGCAGCGAGGGAGAAGAGGCUGUGGGGUCUGACUCUGCUCUCCAAGAUCAAAGGCGGGGCUGACGCUGCUGGAGUCCGGGGCAUUACGGCAGAGUAAAACGGGGGCCUGUGACUGUGGCAUGAACAAAGAGGAACAAAACAGGAACCGCCCAAGGAAGGACCAGGCCAUAAAUUAAAGAGAGCAAAGACAAUGCUUCCAAGGGUCUGGUUUAACAAACCAACUGCAACUUCCCCUUGGCUCAGGGAAAACCGCGAAGGAAGGAAACACACCAGGCUGGGGGAGGAGUGAUAGGAGUGAUGCCAAACUCAGCAGCAAGGAUUGGAAUAAGCCUGGGCCGGAUGUGAGAAGAGUCGUUACCAUGGAGAGCUCUCUAGCACCCACCUCACAGAGACUGUACAAAUCUUCAGCCAGAAAAUCACUCUGGUCACCCACCAGAAGAUCCACUCCCAGGCAGGGCCCUACAUCUGCACUGCUUGCGGGAAGAGCGGCAUCACCGACAGGAGCGUGGCCACACACAGGAGGCGGUACACGGGCAAGCAGCUGUUAGUCUGUGCCCAGUGUGGGAAGAGCUUCACCUGGAAGGAGAACUUCACGAUGCACCAGAGGAGCCACACAGGCCAGAGGCCCUAUGCCUGCAGGCAGUGCUUUGUGCACAAAAAGACCCCUAAGACACACCGGCUGGUCUACCUGCAGGAGACUCCCCCAUAAGUGCAGCAGCCAGUGUGGGAAGUGGUUUGUUAAGGUCUCCUUGGCCAUGCCCCAGAGGAUACACCAGGACGAACAGCCCUACAUGUGCCCCAGGUAAAGCAAAAGCUUCCCACAUAAAAAAACCCUCAAAAUGCACCCGGGACUGCCAUGAGAAAGAGGCCGCACCAACAUAAAAGAGGGUCUGGAUGCACAUGAUGGACAGCAAGUAAGCCUUGGUGUGAUGAGGAGUAUGGUGCCCCAGAGGGCUCAGCUCGGUGAGGGUGAGACCCACAGCACUGGGAACAACUUCAGUCCCAUCAUAGCAGGAAUCCACCCAGCAGGGGGCUCCUACGUAUGCACUGAGCACGAGGAUUGGUUCCAGACGGCUGGAAACCUCCCAGCCCACCAGACAGCUCGCCCAGCCAGGAGGCCACAUGAGAGCAGGGACUGUGGAGGUCACUCGGGUCAAGGGGUAGCUCAGCCAAUAAGCGGUGCACUGGGAAAAUCACUGGCCGAGAACGGGGAAGGGCUGGCUCUCAGAGGAAGUCAUUAGACCUGGAAGAAAGCCCAGGUGGGGAAGAGGGUGUACACGUGCACCAGCAUGGGGAGAAGUUCACCUCACCAGACAUGCGCUGACCCACGGGCAGGACAGGCCCCAUGAAGGCAGCGCCUGCAGCGAAGGCUUCGUUGAGAGGUCGCGGCUAGUGAUACGCCAGCAGAUCCACACGAACGAGACACCCGAUUGGUGCAACAUGUGAGAGAAGAGCUUCAACCAGAAAAAUGAUCAUCACCCCAGUGCAGCCAUGCCCAGGAGAGGCCCUUUGCCUGUCUUCAGUGUGGGAGGGGCUCACAGCUCAUGGCACCCCAAAAGGGCUGCAUGGGCGAACAGCCACUCCCAGCUGCCGAGUGAGGGAAGAGCUUCAGUCAGGAGAUGAUCAGAGGCUCCAUACUAGGGCGGAGGCUGUUCAUACGCAUGGGGCCCCGUGGGGAGUCUAAAGAUGCCCCAGCAGCCCAACAGAGGGGUGAGGCCUCACAUAGGUCUGGUGCGUGGGAGGAACGCCACUCAGAAAUCGAGCUUCAACAGGCACCAAGAGGUCCCCGCGUGCAGUAUCAAGUGGUGAUUGCAAAGAUUAUUGCCGUUGCUUCUGAUGUCCUGCAGAGCCCGGCUGCUCCGGUGAGAUCCCUCCCAGGGGGUAAGGAUGGGUUGUAGCAGAGAUCUCUGCAACGGACAUCCCCCCUUUGGGCUCUCAGCAAAGCAGCAAGCUACUCAGUGUGGAAUUGCACUGUGCCGUGAUUUCCAUUGCAUAUGAACCAGAUAACCCAGACCCAGCACAGAACUAGGGACCUCCACAGGGCAUUGAUAUUUUGCAUCUGUGAGGUUUUCCUGAAGUCCUAUAAUAAAAUGUAACAUAUUUCUCUCA